Molecule: long non-coding RNA, 2726 nt
Organism: Cygnus olor (mute swan)
Lineage: Eukaryota; Metazoa; Chordata; Aves; Anseriformes; Anatidae
Exons: 4
Source: RefSeq, a predicted model, not a curated record
GGCUCCCUCCUCCGCCCCCGCCUCCUCCUAGCGGCUGGCAGCGGACGCCUCGGGCUGGGCAGCCCCCCGGGAAGGGUCUCUGAGCCGAGCCCCCGCCGGCUUCUGCUCGGACCUGAGCCUCGUGGGGAACGUUUGCCACCAGCCCAGAACAGCACCCGUGGGGGCACAAGAGGUGACCAGAGGCAGCAGAGCCACGAGGGGCCUCGGCGGAGUCCUCCUCGUCCCCGCUGCCACCCGCCACAGCAAACGCCUUCCUCGGGGUCAUCGGCUGCUAGAGAACAAACCCAGGGCAAGGGGCUUCCCUUCUGACCUGCUGCUCCCUCAGCAAAGCCCCGACACAUUGUCAAUUCACGUUCAUCUGAUUACCGUCCCCACCCAAGCUGCACUUGUGCAUCACAGUCUGUUUGCUGCUUUGGAUGCAGUACAAACCCAGGAGGCUGACGGGAAGCGACUCAGCAGUAUGGAAAGGAGCUGGAUGCUACUGCAAAAUUUCAGCUGAACUGGAGCCGACAGUGAUGUGCCCGUGUGGAAGAGGUGAAUGUUGCGGUAUGAGAACUGGUACAGAAAUGUGCCAUCGUGUGCAGCCUGUGCAGGGCUGGUGUGGCACCGGGUGGAGGAUCUGGCCUAGUUCUGGCAGUGGAGGGGACGUGGGUCAGUUGGAGACGGCGCAGAGGGAGCACAAGGAGGGAUGAGAUGGUGCAGAAGCACAGCCUAUGAGCAAAGGCUGAAAGAGGGAACGACUCACCCCAGAGAAGUAAAGACUUGGGGAGAGCCACAGCAACAUGCUCCAGUUAGAUAAAAGGCAGGACAGGACAAGAAGCAAUGGGAUUAAACUGCCACAGGGAAAUUCAGGUUAGACAAAAAGGAAAAGCGCUUAACACUAUGGAUGGUGAAGCAGCGGACCAGGCUGCCAGGGAGGGCAGAGACAUCCCAGCACGGACAGGGCAGCUCAGGCACUGUGUUGGGUGCGAUGGAGGGAGCAGAGCCUCUCCUGGGCUCCAGGCAGGCUGGAUGUCUCAGCACGGCUGCUCCGUCCUGCUUUGCUAACUCCUGGGUGCUCUGGAGUCACGUAACUCUGCCAUGGACUGGUACGGCUUGUCAGUACCCGUGAAACCAGCAGCUUCGCAAACUUCACAAUGACGGUGAAAGUUAUGAGGGAAAUUGAAGGGGAAAACCCAACAGCUUCUGAGUGGAAAAUCAGCAGUUUCAGAAGAACUUACAAUAGGGCAAGAAAGCUGGUACUGCACAGUCGAGAAAAUGUAACUUUGGCUGAAAGCCAAUCCUCAAAGUUGGUAACCUGAAAACAGCCACUGGAGGCAAAAUGACAAUAUAUAUGAAGAGGAAGAAAGUAAUAGAUACCAAUCAAUAUGUAGUGAUCACCAAAGUGAGUUAUGAAGCAGAGAUAUUGGUAGGGGAAGGUAGACAGAGCAGAAUCCAUGGCUGGCAAAGCCAUGAGCAGUAACAAGUUGUUCUCUGUUAGAAACAAGAGAAGCGUUAAUGAGUUUGCAGGUCUGUGUCAUAGACGUAGAGAAGCAUAAGAAGAUUUUGGCCAGGAACAGCCUCUGGGUGUCUCCAGUCUGAUUUCCUGCUUAGGGCAGGUGUUGGCAUGACACCGCCUCGCUCAGGGCUCACCCAGUCGAACUUUGAAACCCCCCGAGCCCGGAGGAGCCGUGGCAUUUCUAGAUGAAGAGGUGCAUUGCCAGUGACAAGGCACACACUGCCUCUCUGCUGCCUUUAGUAAGGAUGGGAACGUAAGGCACAAAGAUGAUGAACUACUCUCUGGUCUACCAACACCGGAGAGCAUCGCAGAUGACAUCCGUGGGGUUUCUGAAUCAGCAGACCCACACGGUUUGCACCUGAGGGCAGUGUGCUAAGCUGAGCUCGCUCCGUUCACUCACUUCUGAAAAGCCCAAAGCCUGGGGACGCGCCGAGUUUGGCAGGAACCAACGUGGUGCUCGGCGGGUGAAACGGGCGCCCUGGUUAACUAUCGGUUGGUCCAGCAUGACGUUCAGAUUGAAAAAUGGAGAGGACAUGCAGGAUUCAAUUAAUAUCGAACUCAAGGAUUAAAAAUACACUCCGUGUGGUCUAAUGGAAAAUGUCUUGUCAAAUGAGCCUCGUCUCAUCCUUUGAGAAAAUUGUGAGUUUGUAGAUAAAGGUUACCAUGUAGCCAUUAUUUGCUUAGCUUUUGGCAAUGUGUUUGACUUAAUAUCAUAUGACAUCCUAAUUACAAAUUUAGCUCUAUACAAUCUUGAUAAAACCCUCAUUAAAUGGAUGGAGAGCUGCAAACCCAUCUCCAAACAAGGAGUCAUCAGUGAACAGAGAUGAUGUAGAGGGAUUCUGCAGGAUUUGGUCCCAGCCUGACACUAAUCAAUGUUUUCAUCAUUGAUUGAGAAAUGAGCACAAAACACAGCUGAUGAAUUAUACAGCUGCUGGAAGCAGAAGGACUGGCAGUGAAUAAUUACAACAGCGAAGUUGUAUAGAGCAACUGGGAUCAUCUCUGUGCAUGAACCCAUUUUCACUUGGCAGUAUUAAAAUAGGCCAGCUUUCAAACGGCAACGAGGGAGAUGUUUCAUCCAAAAAAGCUAUGAUGCAAAAAAAUCUAGACAUCAUUAGGGGAGGGAAUUGCUUUUGCAGUACUCCAGCAACACGGCUCUGGCCCCAGGUACAGAAACCAGAGGUGGAGGAUGAGAAAAGCAGGACUGUGCUGCCCGUGCUUUUCUGCAGCA